Molecule: ribosomal RNA, 499 nt
Filed under: uncultured bacterium
Lineage: Bacteria
Description: partial 16S ribosomal RNA
Rfam family: Bacterial small subunit ribosomal RNA
Source: RNAcentral
GAUGAACGCUGGCGGCGUGCCUAAUACAUGCAAGUCGAGCGAACAGACGAGAGUGCUUGCACUCUCUGACGUUAGCGGCGGACGGGUGAGUAACACGUGGGUAACCUACCUAUAAGACUGGGAUAACUUCGGGAAACCGGAGCUAAUACCGGAUAAUAUUUAGCUUCGCAUGAAGCAAUAGUGAAAGACGGUUCUGCUGUCACUUAUAGAUGGACCCGCGGUGUAUUAGCUAGUUGGUGAGGUAACGGCUCACCAAGGCAACGUUACAUAGCCGACCUGAGAGGGUGAUCGGCCACACUGGGACUGAGACACGGCCCAGACUCCUACGGGAGGCAGCAGUAGGGAAUCUUCCGCAAUGGACGAAAGUCUGACGGAGCAAUGCCGCGUGAGUGAAGAAGGUUUUCGGAUCGUAAAACUCUGUUGUAAGGGAAGAACAAGUACGUUAGUAACUGAACGUACCUUGACGGUACCUUACCAGAAAGCCACGGCUAACUACGUG